This is a non-coding RNA of Danionella cerebrum, 83 nucleotides long. NCBI's taxonomy places the organism in Eukaryota, Metazoa, Chordata, Actinopteri, Cypriniformes, Danionidae. The record is from the annotation of a GenBank genome assembly.
ACCAGGAAGGCCUAGAGGUUAAGGAGUUGGACAAAAGAUCCAAGGGACAAAAGUCUUUGUGAGUUCGAACCUCACUCCUGGUA